This 27-nucleotide non-coding RNA is filed under the name Mus musculus (house mouse). The record is from RNAcentral. Lineage: Eukaryota; Metazoa; Chordata; Mammalia; Rodentia; Muridae.
UGUCCUCUCAGCUACACGGAGACCCAA